Molecule: non-coding RNA, 25 nt
Filed under: Drosophila erecta
Lineage: Eukaryota; Metazoa; Arthropoda; Insecta; Diptera; Drosophilidae
Also listed under: 1 other name
Source: RNAcentral
UAGACUAAUUGGACAGGUGACUCGG